This 72-nucleotide transfer RNA is filed under the name Nomascus leucogenys (northern white-cheeked gibbon). It matches the Rfam family "tRNA". Rfam says of the family: Transfer RNA (tRNA) molecules are approximately 80 nucleotides in length. Their secondary structure includes four short double-helical elements and three loops (D, anti-codon, and T loops). The record is from Rfam by way of RNAcentral. Lineage: Eukaryota; Metazoa; Chordata; Mammalia; Primates; Hylobatidae.
GGGUAUAUAGUUCAGGGGUAGAGCAUUUGACUGCUAGAUGAAGAAGUCCUCGGUUCAAAUCCGGUGUGCCCC